AUUGAACGCUGGCGGCAGGCCUAACACAUGCAAGUCGAGCGGAUGAAGGGAGCUUGCUCCUGGAUUCAGCGGCGGACGGGUGAGUAAUGCCUAGGAAUCUGCCUGGUAGUGGGGGAUAACGUCCGGAAACGGGCGCUAAUACCGCAUACGUCCUGAGGGAGAAAGUGGGGGAUCUUCGGACCUCACGCUAUCAGAUGAGCCUAGGUCGGAUUAGCUAGUUGGUGGGGUAAAGGCCUACCAAGGCGACGAUCCGUAACUGGUCUGAGAGGAUGAUCAGUCACACGGGAACUGAGACACGGUCCAGACUCCUACGGGAGGCAGCAGUGGGAAAUAUUGGACAAUGGGCGAAAGCCUGAUCCAGCCAUGCCGCGUGUGUGAAGAAGGUCUUCGGAUUGUAAAGCACUUUAAGUUGGGAGGAAGGGCAGUAAGUUAAUACCUUGCUGUUUUGACGUUACCAACAGAAUAAGCACCGGCUAACUUCGU
Molecule: ribosomal RNA, 483 nt
Filed under: uncultured bacterium
Lineage: Bacteria
Description: partial 16S ribosomal RNA
Rfam family: Bacterial small subunit ribosomal RNA
Source: RNAcentral